Molecule: small RNA, 315 nt
Filed under: Pongo abelii (Sumatran orangutan)
Lineage: Eukaryota; Metazoa; Chordata; Mammalia; Primates; Hominidae
Description: Metazoan signal recognition particle RNA (ENSPPYG00000030284.1)
Source: RNAcentral
GCUGGGCAUGGUGGCGGGCGCCUGUAGUCCCAGCUACUCGGGAGGCUGAGGCCUGAGAAUGGCUGAACCUGGGAGGCGGAGCUUGCAGUGAGCCGAGAUGGCGCCGCUGCACUACAUCCUGGGUGACAGGGCGAGACUCUGUCUCAAAAAGAAAAAGAAAUUUGGGGCACUUCCCCAAUACUAAAGGACUGUCCAAAAGUACCCCCCCCUUCUUUUUUUUUUGAGGCGGAGUCUCGCUCUGUCGCCCAGGCUGGAGUGCAACUGCGCUAUCUCGGCUCACUGCAAGCUCCGCCUCCCGGGUUCAGCCAUUCUCCU